GACGAACGCUGGCGGCGUGCUUAACACAUGCAAGUCGAACGGAAAGGCCCUGCUUUUGUGGGGUGCUCGAGUGGCGAACGGGUGAGUAACACGUGAGUAACCUGCCCUUGACUUUGGGAUAACUUCAGGAAACUGGGGCUAAUACCGGAUAGGAGCUCCUGCUGCAUGGUGGGGGUUGGAAAGUUUCGGCGGUUGGGGAUGGACUCGCGGCUUAUCAGCUUGUUGGUGAGGUAACGGCCCACCAAGGCGACGAUGGGUAACCGGCCUGAGAGGGUGAACGGUCACAUUGGAACUGAGACACGGUCCAAACUCCUACGGGAGGCAGCAGUGGGGAAUAUUGCACAAUGGAGGGAAAUCUGAUGCAGCGACGCCGCGUGAGCGAUGAGGGAAUUCGUUUCGUAAAGCUCUGUUCUAUGGGAAGAAAAGGACUGUACCAGAGGAGAAAGCCCCGGCUAAAUACGUG
This 463-nucleotide ribosomal RNA is filed under the name uncultured bacterium. Its description in RNAcentral is "partial 16S ribosomal RNA". It matches the Rfam family "Bacterial small subunit ribosomal RNA", at positions 28 to 507 of the family's 1533-position model. The record is from RNAcentral.